Long non-coding RNA from Raphanus sativus (radish), 1445 nucleotides. RefSeq lists it as uncharacterized. The transcript has 4 exons. NCBI's taxonomy places the organism in Eukaryota, Viridiplantae, Streptophyta, Magnoliopsida, Brassicales, Brassicaceae. The record is from RefSeq and is a predicted model, not a curated record.
UCGACGCCUUAGUCUGGGCUAUUGUUUUAGUUGAGCUUCUUUUAGCUUUUUACAGUCCAUCAUGGCUAUCAGCUCUGCAGAGAUGAGACACUGCGUUUUCAUUAAGGGUUAGACCCGUGUGAGGUUCUUCUUCGUCUCUGCAUAGCUCAUGGCAAAUCGGGUUUCACUAAUGAUCUUUCGUCUUCUUCCUCACAGUACGAAAGGGUACCAGUUACGGGAUUAUCUUCUUCGAUGGAGUCGAAUCGUCUAUGAUUCCCAUCUUCUAAGACAUCAUAAGAUGUCUUCAUUCAUUGCUUUAAAAAUCUGUUAAUUCGAUCAACGCACAUCGAGGACGAUUAAUCAUUCAAUGCUGCUUAUCCAUCAUAUAGUCGGUGUUUCUCCACCUAUAAAAAAGUAAGCCCUUCAUAGCUUGAGCAUCAUCCUCAGAGUUCCUGUAAUCCAAAAAAAAAAUUGCUGUGUAAUGGCUUGCGUGUUUUUGGGGAUGGACCUGCUCCCCAUUUAUUCAAAGUCAACCCUCCUACUUGCCACCGUUAAUUUUCACCGUCUCGCCACUUUUCGACACCACUUCAAGGCUGAUUCAAUGUUAAGACUCGGCUGAUUUGAUGUGACUCGGUGCAAUAAGAACUAGGGCCUGUUCGAUUUUCCUCUAUCGAUUCGGUUCAGUUAUUCAACCAUUUUCCAUGCGUUAACCGAACGAGUUCUCCAAUUCUGAUUUGGUUUUUCGGGAUCAUGAUUAGCUGCUUGGCCUAGCCAAUACGAAUACACAUCUUCUAGACAUUAUUGGUGAACGAACAGCUGUGAAAGUACAGUUAGUGACGUUCUCCAGGUAAAAGAACGUUUCAUAUGAAGCCCAUUCAAUACUUUCAUAAAUGAAGAGACUUUUUCUUUGUGAAGACGUUGAUGAUUUCAGAUUAUGUUUUUCCCUUGACAAUGGUGAAUCGUGUCAUUUCACAACUACUGGAAAGCUACCGGAAUGAUCCAAGGGUUGUAGGAGGGACAUAUAUUUUAGACAGACUAAUGCACGGGAGAACAUUAACUGUGGGAAGAUCUUCAAGUGGUCUCACCUCCAAAAUGUGGAUGUAAGUGGUAAGAUUGUGUGAAAUCAGCAGCAACUGUGGGAACAUCUUCAAGUUGUCUCACCUCCAAAAUGCUCCAGCAACAGCAACUACCAAGGUCGCCAAGAAGGCACGAGUGGCUUAAGUGAAGAUAAUGAAAUUACCUGGAUGCAGUACUUUUUGCAUAAUGUUUAUGCAUCGAUGUGGUUUUCCUUUUUUUGAAACAUUUUGAGUACUCUACUGUGUUUUGAUAUGUUUUCAAAACUAUCUAGAAAAUGCUUAUUUAUCAAAUUUAUCGCCCUCAUUAAACCAAUAUCUUCUGUGUCCAAUAAACGUUCUAUGUAGUAAAUUGUGCGUGUAAUAAUUCAAGAGCUUUAACAGAUUUAACAA